Molecule: ribosomal RNA, 281 nt
Filed under: Cicindela aurulenta
Lineage: Eukaryota; Metazoa; Arthropoda; Insecta; Coleoptera; Carabidae
Description: partial 16S ribosomal RNA
Source: RNAcentral
AAGGCUUAAAUGCUAAUAAUAGACGAGAAGACCCUAUAGAUCUUUAUUUAAUUAAUAUUUUAAUAAUUUAGGAUUAUUUUAAUUUAAAAUUUUAAUUAAAUUUUAUUGGGGUAAUAUAAAGAUUGAAUUAAUUCUUUUUAUUAAUUACAUUAAUUUAUGAAUAAAUGAUCCAAUAUUAUUGAUUAUAAGAUUAAGUUACCUUAGGGAUAACAGCGUAAUUUUUUUGGAGAGCUCAUAUCGAUAAAAAAGUUUGCGACCUCGAUGUUGGAUUAAAAAUUAGC